RNAcentral lists this ribosomal RNA (232 nucleotides) under uncultured bacterium. RNAcentral describes it as "partial 16S ribosomal RNA". It matches the Rfam family "Bacterial small subunit ribosomal RNA", at positions 104 to 334 of the family's 1533-position model. The record is from RNAcentral.
CGGGGUGAGUAACGCGUGGAUAACCUGCCUCACACUGGGGGAUAACAGUUAGAAAUGGCUGCUAAUACCGCAUAAGCGCACAGUACCGCAUGGUACGGUGUGAAAAACCCAGGUGGUGUGAGAUGGAUCCGCGUCUGAUUAGCCAGCUGGCGGGGUAACGGCCCACCAAAGCGACGAUCAGUAGCCGACCUGAGAGGGUGACCGGCCACAUUGGGACUGAGACACGGCCCAA